CUGCUGAUUAGUGGAGAGUGCUUAUUAACUGCCACAGAUACUGUUGAUGUGGCAAUGCCGCUGAACUUCACUGGAGGUCAAUUGCACAGCAGAAUGUUCCAGAAUUUUCCUACUGAGUUGUUGCUGUCAUUAGCAGUAGAACCUCUGACUGCCAAUUUCCAUAAGUGGAGCCUCUCCGUGAAGGAUAUAAGUAUCCAGUAUAUGGUGUCCAGUGGCAUCCAGAGAAAGCACCUUAUGAGUGGAAGAAUUUGGAUGGCAUUUCCCAUGCACCUAAUGCUGUGAAAACCGCAUUUUAUUUAGCAGAGUUUUUUGUUAAUGAAGCUCGGAAAAACAACCAUCAUUUUAAAUCUGAAUCUGAAGAGGAGAAAGCAUUGAUUUAUCAGUUCAGUCCAAUUUAUACUGGAAAUAUUUCUUCAUUUCAGCAAUGUUACAUAUUUGAUUGAAAGUCUUCAAUUUGUUAACAGAGCAAAUUUGAAUAAUUCCAUGAUUAAACUGUUAGAAUAACUUGCUACUCAUGGCAAGAUUAGGAAGUCACAGAUUCUUUUCUAUAAUGUGCCUGGUUCUGAUUCUUCAUUCUGUAUGUGACUAUUUAUAUAACAUUAGAUAAUUAAAUAGUGAGACAUAAAUAGAGUGUUUUUCAUGGAAAAGCCUUCUUAUAUCUGAAGAUUGAAAAAAAUAAAUUUACUGAAAUACAAA
Molecule: small RNA, 696 nt
Filed under: Pan troglodytes (chimpanzee)
Lineage: Eukaryota; Metazoa; Chordata; Mammalia; Primates; Hominidae
Description: processed transcript
Source: RNAcentral